AGGAGGGCGGCGCCAGGAGAGCCCCCUGGACCCAGCCCCAGGGCAAGGCAGGCAGGGAGGAGCCGGAGCCGGCCCCGGGGAGGGCGUGCCCGAGCUGGGACUCCUCGCCUCUGCCAUGCCGGGUCGGGGCCGACAGCAGGCGCCCUCCACCGCCGGCUCUUCUGGUUCGCCCGCUGCGGAAGCCCCAGCCGGCGUCCCCGCCGCCUCGCUUGGUUUCCCUUCCGUCGAGCCCGGAUUUGCGUCUUGCGUGCCUCCUCUCGCUUGCCGAGCGCUUGCCCGGCCCCGCGGGACUGCCGUCUUCCCGGCGCUUUCCCCCGCGCUGUCGCUCUCUGCUCCCUCCCAGGACACCCCUCCCUUCUCCCUCUCCCCCUCCAACUUUCUCUUAAAAUCCUACCCUUCAUUCCACCUCCUUGUUCUCCCCUUCCCAGCCCACCCUUCCCGGCUCUUCCCCGACCCUCGUUUCUCUUGCCGCUCACCCUAACCUUACCUUCAUUCCCCCGUCCUUCCUUUCCCCCUCUUCCCUUUCCUCCCUAAAGUUCACUUCAAUCCUUCCCUUCAUUCCUCGCAUCACCCCGUCUUUCAUCUCUGCCUCUUGCCUUCAUUUCUCUUUCCACUCUCCCUAACUUUCCUUAACACCCUUCCCCUUCUCCCUUUCCACUCUUCCUAACGUUCUCUUCAUUCCUUGCACCCCCAGCCUUCCUUUUCCUCGCUUCCCCAGCCCAUCCUUCCCCCCUCUCUUCCCCUUUCCGCUCAUCCUCUCUCCCCUGAAUUGUUCUGCUCAGAUUUGCCCCCCAACCCCACCCUUGCCUUGGAUUCCUCUUUGUGCCCCCCCAACAUCAAGCCAUCCCUUCCGCCAUGCUUCUGAGCACUGCUCCCCAGACGGAGGUAUACCCCUUUGAGCGGGUCGUUGUCUUGGUCUCCUGCGCUCUCUCCUUUGUGGGGUCUAGCCUCUUGGUGGGUACCCACGCCCUCUGGCCGGAGUUGCGGACCCGACCCCGCCAGCUCCUGCUCUACCUCUCCUUGGCUGAUCUCCUCUCAGCUGCCUCUUACUUCUACGGGGCGCUGAAGGACUUUGGGUCAUCCUCGUGGGACUGUGUGGCUCAGGGAGCCGUGUCCACCUUCUCCAACACCAGCUCCUUCUUCUGGACGAUGGCCAUCGCGCUCUACCUCUAUAGCAGCAUUGUCCAAGGUUCGCCAUCGAGUGCUCGGGUCCUCUGCUUCUUCCACGUGGUGAGCUGGGGGGUACCACUUGGUAUCACGGUGGCAGCCGUUAUGCUGAAUAAGAUUGGGUACGAUGCCUCUGACGUCUCUGUUGGCUGGUGCUGGAUCAACAUCGACGCAGAGGAUCGGGUCCUGUGGAUGCUCCUUGCGGGGAAGAUUUGGGAAAUCUUGGCCUAUGUGACUCUGCCCGUCUUCUAUAUCCUCAUAAAGAAGCACAUCAACCGAGCGCAUGCCGCGCUGUCAGAGUACCGGCCUAUCCUGUCGAGGACCCCGGCUUUCCAACCGAGGACUUCCAUAGCAGAUAAGAAGCUGAUCCUGAUCCCGGUUAUAUUUAUCUUCCUCCGAAUCUGGAGCACCGUCCGGUUCGUGCUGACACUCUGCAGUUCCCUUGCGGUCCAAAACCCGAUGCUGGUGGUCCUUCAUGGCAUCGGCAACACGUUCCAAGGCGGAGCCAACUGCAUCAUGUUUGUCCUUUGUACACGGGUCGUCCGGAACAAGCUGUUUUCCUCCCUGUGCUGCUGGUGCUAUGACAGCCUGGAUCAUUCUCUGCCGAGUCCGGAGAGCUGCUCCCAGGGCCAGGAUUCGGCCAGCAAGGACUGGGGGGAAGUGCAUGAGAGUGACCGAGUGAGAGUGGAAUUUUCAAGCACCUGAGCAUUGGAGCAUCCAAGCUUUAACCAGAGGUGUGGCCUUCCCUGGUCAGGGUUUUUUCUGUAACAGAAAUGCUACAAGCUGCUUGCCAUGGGGGAAAAAAAAGCAGCAAAAGUUUCGGAACGGACCCUCCAUGCGGUAACAGGGGCCUUGUGACGGACAUGAGCUUGUCUGGAAAUCCAGUUUUGCAGUUGGCUUUUCACUGUGUGUCUUUUGUGGGGGGUUUUUGGAGGGGUGUUACGAGGGUACUUUCCAGUUUCCAUUUUUAAUUAUUCCCUUCUAAGGUGUUUUUUUUAAGAGUCUUGGGGGAUUCUUAAAUCUUUAGGAAGGGCAGGGGCUGCUAGGAGUUGUAGUCCAAAACAUCUGGAGAAUGCCACAUUGGUGUCAGCUGAUUUAGAGCAAUGUUCUUCCACAGAUGUUACUGGAUCACAACUCCCAUCAUUCCUGACCGUUGGCUUAAGCUAGCUGGGGAUGAUGGGAGUUAUAGCCCAAUGCCGUCGGACGACCCAAGUUUAAAGGAUGCCGAUUUGGAGGAUCCUGCAUUGAAACUAUCCUGUGUACUUUAACAAAAUAGUGAGUGAACAGGUGACCAAGGUCUGACUGAUCUUAGAGAUGGGUAAUUGACGCAGUGUAGCCUCUGCCUAGCAAUUGCUCCAGGUCAGGUCUUCAGCACGGGGUGGUGGCCUUUAGAUUCAAAGUGCACUCAAAUCAAGCAAUUUAUUGGAGUGCAAGGGAGUGGCCCACUGGUUCGCUCCUGAGGUUUCCUGUAUACAUAAAUAUAAUAUACCAAACCUCCUGGAUGCUGGAAUCAACUUUUUUUUAAAAUCAUGUUUCCAUUUUGAUUUAUCAUAUUGUGCGCUGGAGUUUCCACAGCAUUGUGGAAUGAACUUUGUUAAAAUACCAUGUUUCCAGCUUGAUUUUUCAUGUUAUGCACUGGAGUUUUACGUGUGUGGUUUUCAAAAUUUUGAUCUGUGAAAUGAGUAGACAAAGGCUGACUUUGAGCUACCAUCUUAAGGUCUCCUGUUGUUGCUUUUUAAAAAAAGGAAUAAUUAAAAAGCUACUUGUUUUGGUGA
Molecule: RNA transcript, 2942 nt
Organism: Rhineura floridana
Lineage: Eukaryota; Metazoa; Chordata; Lepidosauria; Squamata; Rhineuridae
Gene: GPR157
Gene name: G protein-coupled receptor 157
Exons: 5
Source: RefSeq, a predicted model, not a curated record